RNAcentral lists this unclassified non-coding RNA (208 nucleotides) under soil metagenome. RNAcentral's name for it is "partial contains 5.8S ribosomal RNA, internal transcribed spacer 2, and large subunit ribosomal RNA". The record is from RNAcentral.
AACCAUAGAAACCUGCGGAGUACCUGCGGCAGGAUCAUUACCGAGUUUACAACUCCCAAACCCCUGUGAACAUACCUAUACGUUGCCUCGGCGGAUCAGCCCGCGCCCUGUAAAAAGGGACGGCCCGCCCGAGGACCCCUAAACUCUGUUUUUAGUGGAACUUCUGAGUAAAACAAACAAAUAAAUCAAAACUUUUAACAAUGGAUCU